AGUGAACGCUGGCGGUAGGCCUAACACAUGCAAGUCGAACGGCAGCACAGUAAGAGCUUGCUCUUACGGGUGGCGAGUGGCGGACGGGUGAGGAAUACAUCGGAAUCUACUUUUUCGUGGGGGAUAACGUAGGGAAACUUACGCUAAUACCGCAUACGACCUACGGGUGAAAGCAGGGGAUCUUCGGACCUUGCGCGAUUGAAAGAGCCGAUGUCGGAUUAGCUAGUUGGCGGGGUAAAGGCCCACCAAGGCGACGAUCCGUAGCUGGUCUGAGAGGAUGAUCAGCCACACUGGAACUGAGACACGGUCCAGACUCCUACGGGAGGCAGCAGUGGGGAAUAUUGGACAAUGGGCGCAAGCCUGAUCCAGCCAUACCGCGUGGGUGAAGAAGGCCUUCGGGUUGUAAAGCCCUUUUGUUGGGAAAGAAAAGCAGCAGGUUAAUACCCCGCCGUUCUGACGGUACCCAAAGAAUAAGCACCGGCUAACUUCGUG
RNAcentral lists this ribosomal RNA (492 nucleotides) under uncultured bacterium. Its description in RNAcentral is "partial 16S ribosomal RNA". It matches the Rfam family "Bacterial small subunit ribosomal RNA", at positions 29 to 507 of the family's 1533-position model. The record is from RNAcentral.